This 253-nucleotide ribosomal RNA is filed under the name uncultured bacterium. RNAcentral's name for it is "partial 16S ribosomal RNA". It matches the Rfam family "Bacterial small subunit ribosomal RNA", at positions 524 to 776 of the family's 1533-position model. The record is from RNAcentral.
UACGAAGGGGGCUAGCGUUGUUCGGAUUUACUGGGCGUAAAGCGCACGUAGGCGGAUUGUUAAGUCAGGGGUGAAAUCCCGGAGCUCAACUCCGGAACUGCCUUUGAUACUGGCAAUCUUGAGGCUGGAAGAGGUUAGUGGAAUUCCCAGUGUAGAGGUGAAAUUCGUAGAUAUUGGGAAGAACACCAGUGGCGAAGGCGGCUAACUGGUCCAGAUCUGACGCUGAGGUGCGAAAGCGUGGGGAGCAAACAGG